This 11735-nucleotide long non-coding RNA is filed under the name Marmota monax (woodchuck). Lineage: Eukaryota; Metazoa; Chordata; Mammalia; Rodentia; Sciuridae. The record is from RNAcentral.
CCUUGAGGAGCUGCAUUCUUUGAUUCUAGUUGUAAGUGACUAUGCCCCACUUUCUGCCUGGUGGGGAGGAGGGUUAGGAGAAUGCAGUAAAUGUCAGAGAUGAGGGGAGUUGGGUUUUUUCCUUUAAACAAACGGUUUAGGAGGAACUCGGUGGGAGUAACAGAAGACCCUUAAACAUGACUCACCCCCUCCUCUGCCCUCCCGGGUUCUAGGAAAAGCAGAGUCCCAGACUUGACCAAGCACGACAAAGGCCCAGUGAUACCAUCUCUCAGUCCACUCAGUGGAGUUAGCUGAAAAACACUGUAUUUAAUUAGCAUCUACUCUCCAACCUUGUAAAUGUGAGCGGAGAGCUACGCCUGACAGCUGACCUGACAGGCCCAGGACGGGAACAUCCCAGGCAACACAGAAGGCAGGGACUGUCUUAAAAAUGUGAAUGAUCCUAUUGCCUCCAAGGAGCCUGGCGGACUCUUUGUGUGCUUCUCUGAAGGCGAGACUGCAUCAUGAGAUUACUCCCAAUUACUCAGCACAGAGGCGAAGACAAUUUGGGCUCUGUAAACACGAGGCCAGGUAGGUAUGUGUCUGCAUGAGCAAUGGAGUGCAGAGAAAGCUCAUUUGGAGGGAAAGCUAUUUAGAGCAAAGAGAAUUUUUGUUUUCAUGUUUCUUUUGCCUUGAGUCUGAGUGAAUUAAAGGCCAAGAUUGGGUUUGGCGACCCGAGUCCCCGGUCCCUAAGCACUCAGCAAUCAUCACAGCAGCCGAUGGAUUUCGAUGAAAGUUAAAUGAAAACACCCUUUGUUUUUGCUUUCUCUUUCCAGGAUUGGAGUCAGGAUAGAAAACUUUCAUAUGCUGUGUUUAUUAGUUCAUUCUGACGUUGGUCCGCAGGGUCUGAUGGGAAUAUCUUGAUGUAAUACUGACAUUUGACUCUCAUGAGGUUUGUCCUUAGAGUCUUUAAUCCAUGACCCAUUGAUUACUUUCUGGCCGGUUUGGAAGCUUUGUUCUUCCUGAGAAGAGGAGACGGUGUGAACCUGGGCCAUGUGGAGGGGGGGUGGAAACGGCUUCUCCUGUGCAGACUUCCCUGCUGCCCAGUGGAGCCACUGCCACCUUUAUAUGUUCUUGGUUCUCUUUCCUGGCCUCAUCACCCUUCUGUGGCCAAUUCAGGGUCCCACCCGUCCAUAGACGGCACAGCAGUGAUCCAAGUGGGUGUGGGUUUUUCCUGAUGGACCUCAUUCAACUUCUGAGAGUGUGAAGGGCCUGGGCCAGAGGAAGGGCACCCCACUAACCCGGAGAAGGUUGGGAAUGGCAGCAUCUCUGUGCAGCUCUGCGUCCUAGGCAUUGGCCUUGCUGUGCUCACGAAGCUCACCUUGCCACUCACUUCACCUCGAGUGACCACCAGAUACUAGUAAACAAAACAGUCCUUCCCUAGCAAUGCCGGGCACCCCAGGGACGUGGUGCGAGGACGGAGCCUGGCCGAGGGGCUUCACGCUCUCCUACGCCGGCCCUCCUCAGCCGGCCUUCCUGCUUCUAUCUGGAGCCUUCCCUGACAGUGAGGGGGAACUGCCCCAUGGGGUGAAGGAGGAGGCUGCACCUGACGUCAGAGGGUGGGGGCAUCAGCGGCCUCAGGAUUGAGUGCGUCCAGUCUGCAGAUGACCAUGCCAUGAUCCACGGACUCCAGGACUCCAGGCACCUCUGGACACGUGCUGUUCCCUUGCAUGAAUGUGUUCCAUUCCUUACAGCAUCACUUAGGCUGCCGUAGAAGGGAGUGAUUGCUAGGAAGGACCAGGCGUUGGCCAAGUGAAUGCAACACCUCACACUGCACUGAGCUCCGAUACAGACUAGCUGGGUCCUCCCAGAUCCACAGCCUCACCCUCAAUGCAAUUUGUCUAGAAAUUACUCCAAAUAUUUUAGUUGGAGCCCCUUUCAGCUCAGUCUGAGCCUCUGAGAUGCACCCUAAUCCUUCUCUUGAACACGCCACCACUUCCCAGGGCAGAAGGGUGCUCUAGAAUUGGGGUGCGGCUCAGCAAGGAUGUGCUUGCCUGGCUGCACAAAGCCCUGGGUUCCAUCUCCAGCACCACAAAAAUAAAGAAAAUUAAAAACAGAAGGCUGUUCUGGGCUUCUCCUGUACUUCCUGUGCCUUGCUCUGCAAUUAUCCACCUCACAAAGAACUUUUGAAAAUGUCAUCUCUGUUGAUUUUCCUGGGGCUCUAUUACCAAAAUGGCAUUCACGCUUCAAGAAUUAAGAGAUUCAGAUUCAGAGCCAUGUUGGGAGGGUUGGGUUCACUUCCAGCUGCCCUAGCCAUGUCCUCUAUGGGGACGCAUACCUGUAUCAUUCCAUGAAGGGUUGGUCCUAUUUUCAGGUUCCAAAGCGUUUGUGAGGCAAUGCCUAAAAUUUAAAGCAAUAGCAGCAAAAAGACUCAGUUCCCAAGAGUAGAAGGAAGGGUGGAAUACGUGAAAAUCAAAUGCAGGGCUGGGAUUGUGGCUCCGUGGCCGAGCGCUUGCCUUGCAAGUGUGAGGCACUGGGUUCUAUCCUCAGCAACACAUGAAAAUUAAUAAAUAAAAUGAAGUUACUGUGUCCAUCAACAACUAAAACAUAUUUUUAAAAAAUCAGAUGCAAUUAUUUGAAGUUCAGUUCAAAUUAAUUGUCGUUCAUUUUCCUGUUAUGACUUAUUUCCUUUGGGGAGAUUGGGGAUGUGAAGGACCUAGUAUUUUUAGGAAUCACCUACCUGCAUAAUCAUGAAACAAUCCGAUGGCUUUGUUUAGUUUCAGUGCUAAGGAUGGAGACCAGGGCCUUGUACAUGCUGCAUAGGCAAGUGAUCUACCACUGAGCCACAUCCCAAACCAAGAUCUUAGAUAUAUGACAUGUGCCAUCUCAAUUAGAGGUGAAAACUUUUUGACUUCAAAGACUUAUAAGGUGACACAGGAGGCAUUUGUUAUAGUGUGGGUGUGAGGUGUCUUCAAAAGCUCAUGUGUGCGACACUGCAAGAAGGCUUAAUGGCAAAAGGAUUGGGUUGUGAGAGCCUUGACCCCAUCAGUGAAUCGAUACCCCUUAAGGGGUUAACCUGUGGAAACUGAGGGCAGGUGGGGUGUGGCUAGAGGAGGUGGGUCACUAGGGGUGUGCCUUUUGUAUACAUAUAUACAAAAUAUAUUUUGAUUCUGGCAAGCGGAGUCUCUGUCUCUGUGUCACGUGAGCUGCUUCCCUCUGCCACCCUCUGCCACCAUGAAGUUCUGUCUCACCUUGAGCUCCCAGGAGGGAGCCUGCUGUCUAUUAGGAGCUCUGAAACUGUGAGCUCCUAAAUAAACUUUUCCUCUUCUACAAUUGCUCUGGUCAGAUCUUUUAGUCUCAGCAGAGAAAAUGGUGACGUAAUCAGCAUUCCACAAACUUUGGAUUUUAAUCUACAUACAACGACUAUGAAGUCUUUCCUCACCCUUAGAUUCAUUAACUACUUUGAAAGAGAGCAAUUUAGUCCUUUGCUCUGUCCACCGUGACUUUAGCUGAAGGUCACAGAUGGACCAGUUGGACUGGUCAGUGGACAGCUUCUGACGGAUCAGAUGUGGGACUGAACAGACCAGCAGGAAAGAGACCAGAGGUGAGGAAAGUGCCCGUGACAACACGGAACUGCCCGCUGUACGUCUCAAAAUCAAAACGAAAAGUAAGUACUCGCUUUACCUUGCACAUGACAGUUAGGACUACUUUUUUUUAUAUAUAUAUACCACUCUAAAAUGACAGCAAGACCAGUUUUCAUAUGAUUGAUAGAAAUAGAGGACAGAAGAAAUGACAGUGGCCAGUCAGAGCUGACCAUAUGUUGCGGAAGCCCAAAAACCACAGGAACAAGUUGUAGCUGAAUAAAGAAAAUGGAGAUGUUUACAAAAUAGAAGCAAUUUUCACACUCUUGAAACAAGAAAGGGUUGAGGAACCAGAGGCUCAGCAUUUCUGUGAGGGGACACCUGCUCGUGGGGUGGAGCUGACCUCAAGGGUAUUGGCAGGAAUCUACGCAGGGCCAGGUCCCCCUCCUCAGGGCCCGUGGCCACUGGCAUCAGCCUUGUUGACCACACUGUCUGCUUCCUGGUCCAGUAGACCCAGGGGUGGGUCCUCCAUCACCAGUCGCAUCCUAGGCACGGUCAGGGCGGGAGCAAGGCUGGACCUGGAAGAAGAGCCGUCCUGUGACAGAGCAGCACGCUUCCCCCAGAGUCCCCAUCACCUGCCACAUUCACUAAUUCCCACCAACAGCCCUCAAGUCCCUAAGGAAAAGAUGUCCCCAAAUCCAAAUGACAAAGAAGUCCCUUUGGCUUUUGUUAAUAACACACAAUAAUGCGCAAUUAAGUUGGAACAUUUUGCUUGCUUUUCAAUCAGGGGAAUCUUUAUUAAAGGCUUGGUUUUGAGCUCCAUAAUGGAUAAGCAAACGUUUUAUUUAAUAUUCAGGCCUGGGUCUCUGUAUAAGCUAGUCAGUUAACACUUGCCUGGCGGACGCGUCCCCCUAACUCUGUGAAGCUACUAGUACUUGCCUUCCUACCAAGACCUGGGACCUCUUCCUCGCUCACGCUGUCCGUGAGCAGGUGGACAGUGCCUGGUAAGGGCACAGAGCAUCUACCAUCGGAGGGGAGCAGGGAUGCUGCCUGCCAGGGCACCAUGGGAAUCGGCUGGGCAGCAUGGCCGCCUGCAGUGGCCUACGUGGCAGGUUCCUCUUCCACGCACAAUUCUUUAAAGAACCAAAAGUGGGAAACGGAGAAACCCUAAUGUGUGAAUUAAGAAGAGCUUAACCCAGUGACUACCUGGUAUGCAGUUUCAUACAUUUGAAGCAAUUUUCUAAACGAAGCAAGAGAAAGAAUUCAUCAUGAUCUUGAAACUCCACUCCUUCUUUCAGGCCUCUUUUUGUCAAUCAUGGUGUGAUGACCAAAAGGUAAAUUUGAACUGUCUGUGGCCUAUUAGCAGGCAUUCAAGCUGGUUCUAAAAAGAGGCAGGUGGUCAACAUUUUUGCUUUUGCAAGCUCCAAAGUCUGGUUUGCAACCCUGGACUCUGGUGCUGCUAGUCGAAAGCAGCCUCUGGCACUGUGUUAGCCAAUGGCACAAAACUCUUCCUACCACAGGUGACAGCUGACCUUGGCCUUCAGUCUGCAGUGUGCUGAGCUACAAGGUUCAGGGAACCUCAGCUGUCCCCUCCUGCUGCUGCUCCCAGGGGGCCCCCUCCAAACAGCCCCUUCCCAGACCUGCCUGUGCUCUCGGGUUCCAGUCCUUCCCCCACCUUCUCCCACCUAAAGUGCCAAUGUCAGAAAGGGUGCCAGGUCAAGCCUCUGUCAAUUUGUCAAACGGGGCCAUCAAUGGAAAUCUGGGGAGUAUCUCCAGCGGCUAGAGAUGGGCAAUACUUCCACUGGCUUCCUGGCACACAGCCUGAGUUUAGUUCUGGGGAAAGCAUAGAAUAACAUUAAAAAUCCAGACUUUGAGAAACUAAUUGGACAAGCUUAUUGAUACCCAUGGAUCCAAAAUAGUUUUUUGGGGAGAGGCCCACAGCCUCCUGCAUGCCACACAGCCAUGAGCUGCCCUGGGCAAGGGAGGUCUGUCCUGCACACUCCGAAGGUCCUGCAGAGCACAAGGGCUUAGUGGUCCCUUCUCAGUCGCCUUCAUAUUCUAAGGCUCGAGUCUUGGUAAAACCACCAGAAGUUUCCAGGCCUGGUCUGCGGCUCCCACCCGCCACCCUGUGCCCGGGCUUCACUAGGAGAGUCAGUGAGUGUCCGUGAAGGACAAGGAACUGGAAAUUAAAGCCGAAUUUCAUAAUUCCUCAAUGUGCCCAGAGCAGUGUUUCAGAACAUUACAGUCACUGAAUUAAAUAAACUUUCUCAGUUCCAAGUACAGUACUUUCUUUACAAUUAUUUUAACUCAUGUGUUAGGAAUUUUACGGGCAUGUACUUGUGAUUUUAUACAAUAAAGAAAUAUUUUUCCAAACCAUGUAUUGAACAAAAUUGUCCUAAGCUAUUUUAUUAGAAAGUUGAAACUGUGUGUUUCUGAGUCUAGCUUCAUUUUUACAUUUGAAGUAUCUGUUUCCUUCCUUUCACAGGGUCCACGUGUUUCCCCGUGUCUGCUCUGUAAGAUCAUUCAAAUCACUGGGUUUGCUAAGAUUUACCAACAGAAUCAAAGGGGUGUCUUCACCUCCCUGCUGUAAAGGAUACUCUGGGGUCCAGAAAUGCUGUAGUCCAUGUAAACUAAGCACUCUCCUAAUACGUGGCUUGGUAUCAGUGAUUUAUUUGUAGCCUUUUCCCGGAAGGCAAGGGACAAUCUAGAACUCCCCUGAUUGUCUCACUGUGUUUGUCCUAGGGAGUUUAAUGCACUAGUUAUCAUUAGUCUGAGCCUAGGUCUGAAAAUGUCUCUACUUGUGGUUUAAAACCUCCCUUGUCCUUUACAAAAUCUGAUUUCCUCUCAUCGUUUUACAAUUCAAAGGGAGCACUGCGGGAGCCCACUCACACCUGUUUGUCCUUCAUCCCCCACUGAGACGACCUCAGAAAAAAAUGUGAAACCCACGCAGUGGUCUUCUUUCUUGUCUCCUCCCUUUUCCAUUAAUAUUUCAUCUCCGAGGCCUGACGGGCAGGAACCUUGUUCAAGGAACAGUGUGAUUUUGAUUAAAUGUGUCUCCAGUGCUCGACUCACUUCAGAGCCCAGCCCUCCUGAAGAUGCGGAAGGUAACUGGAGGGAGCUCAGAGCCCAACAAGAUUCCAGACCAGGAACGCCUUAGGGUACAAGAGGCAUUUGUCGUGGACUCACAGGCCUGGGGGUUUUUGUUCCCAUCCAUUUUUAAAAAAUAACUGGUUUUUAGAAUGCAAGCAUGGAGGAGUGGGAAGACUACUAAAUGAAGGAAACCGCACCCUUCAUUCUUCCCCUGACCUCCUCCCGCCCCCUUCCUUCCAUCUGCUCUUUGCAAUCUGGCGUUGGGAUGUGAGGCCCUGGAAGAUCACACCAGCUUCCAACAGAAUAGGCCCCAUUUUACACCAAGUCGCUGCCUGGCAGGUGGCAACGAGGUCACCUUUGAAGAGCGGGCAAGGUGAACAACUUGCAAAUAACGUGCCUGCGGAAGGGCUCUGUGGUGACUUGCGCCAGCGGUUCAGGGUCUGGAGGCUGGGUCUUUGAAGCGCACCCUGUGGAGGCUGCAGGGAUUUUCACGCUAUGAAGGCACAUGUCCCACAAUACCGCUGGGCCGCCAUCUGAUUUGUGCCUUAUAUUCUAGGAGCAAUGCUUUUCAUGGCUUUUGUAUGGCUCUGAAAGGAGUGGCAUCAGUCAGAGUGUGCGUCUGUAUAAAUUAUGCAUCUGUGAGUUGCUGCUCACGUGGCAUGAAGAAGAGCCCUGCCUUUGUGGGGGAAGAGGAGGAAGGAGGUGGGGGAGGGGCCAAGGGAAGGCUCGGGAUCCUGAGGUCUCUGUGAGCACUAAGACCUGAAAUAAGAAUUCACAUGCAGGUAGGGGGCGGGGGAAGAGCAAGAAGGCUGUCCUGAGCCCAGGCAUUUUCCUUAGCCCUUCUCUGCCUCCUCUCUGCCCCCGUUCAUCCUGUCUGCCUAGCUGUCCUGCCCACCCCCACCCCUGCCCUGUCCCUGCAGCCUUUCACUGUGGCUGCCUGGGCAUGUCUUAGAUUCUAGUGUUGGUGGGAAAAGGUGUCAGACAGCAAGGCAGGUGCUCUGGUGGGUGUCAGUGCUUAAUCCCCAGGGCAUGGUGAUCUCAUGCUGACACCCUAUCUGGAGGCAGAAUGAGGACUUAAAUCUGGUGGAGACUGUCAUUAAAAAGAUGCAUAGAAUCAAAUGAAGCUUAAAAAAAAUUUGCUGUGGAGAAGGAAACAAAAGGUGAUGUUUGGCCACAACUCUGUCAUCCCAGACAUGCAUCAGAAAUCCUACAACAGUGUAAGCAACAGACGAUAUGUCACCGUAACUACCUCCAAGACUUGUAUGGAAUAUGACAGAAAAGGGUGCGAAUUAUCCAAGAUGAGUGAUCCUCCUGGUAGGGAACGGUCUGCACCUUGUACAGGGAAAGGCACCAAGAUGGGUGCUGUUACCCAAAGAUAGUCAUCAGAGGAGGGGACGCAGCCCACCCAAGCACCCAGUUAUUCUGUCCCGUGAGAUUCAAAGUCCUUUGUAUCCUGAACCACAAACUGGCUUUUAUUAACGUCCAAGAAGUCAUGGUGAACCUUGUAUAUGACAAUGCUAGCUCUGCUCCUGGGUUACAAGUAAAGAAAGGGAAAACCAAGAGUUAAGCUUUGAAAAAAAAAAUAGUAUGGUUAGUAAAGCAGAAGACUUGAAAAGGAGCAAAGGGAAGGAUUGCUUACCAGCCGAAGCAGUUUUGCUAAGGACAAAUACUAAACUAACUCAAUUGCUUUUGUUGAUCAGUGGCUGCAUCAGUAAGUGAAGGAAAGCAGAGGGUGGGGGGGUUCCCAGGUACAGACACGAUGUGUAUGCUGCACCUGGAUUCAGCCAGUCCUGAGAGCCACCAGUCAGCUGGGGGGACAAUACGGAGGAAGAGUUGUUUGCCUCUGACAGUAAAUCCUUCUUCCGCAUCCUUUGAUUAAUGGAGCUGUAUCCCCGGAUGGUAAAACUACCUGGGAGUGUGCCCCAGGCCCUCACACUUGUUUGGUCCUGUUCAGAAUCUAUGUCAGUGACUAGCGGACACUCCAUGUUUUGGGCCUAUUUCCAGGAGAGAAGGAAGCAUACCGUGUCUGAUGGUUUUAACGCUUACGAUUAUCACAUACAAACUCAGAUCUCCCUCCCCCAAUGCAUUAAACAUCUUGGUUCUCCCUGACUGCCUGGGGUCUGGGGUUUGUUCCCUUCUCCGUGUGGGGGUCCGCUUAUCUGGCAACUGAAAGGCCCCCUCCCGUUCCUUGUGUAGAAAUCAACCCUUGGUACCCUUCAGCUUGCCGUCUAGAGGUGUUCCAUCCAACAAGACCAAGGGCUUUCCCGGAUUCCCUGGAGAACCAGGUCCGUGGAGACGGGGAAGCUGAGCGGCACAGAGCUGUACCCUGGCUUCAGCUGCCACGGCGGCCCUCCUGCCCUGCCCUGCCCGCCAGUGUGGACCACCCUCCCCUGUUGUUCCUUCCCCUCUGUCAACUGGCUACCUGCUCCUGCGGCUGCUCUCUGGUCACCACACAGGUUGGCCUGUCCCCACCCCUGUCCUCCAGGAUUGGCUCCGUCUGGUGGCUUCUAUUUUUAUUUCUCAACAACUUUUCUUGGCUCUCCCAGUGGCUUUUUGAGUCACCAUGGAGGGUGCCUCCUUCUAGGACCUGACCUUCAGCUGGUGAGCUCUUGCUCUCCUUCAGCAGAAGGGAGAGGGCCCUUCUUUUCCUUCUUGCUAAAGGACAGACCAGGCCAGGCUGAAUUUUCUGGUUAAUGUAUUUAUACAUUCUGAGAUAUACAUAUGUAUGUAUAGAUCUAUAGAUGUAUAUGUAUAUCUCAGAGAGAGAGAGAGAGAGAGAGAGAGAUGCACACACUCUAAGUGCUAGGGGGUUAAUGUCAUUACUAUUAUUGUUAAUAUUGCCACUACUAUUGCUAUUAAUAGCAUUUUAUCUUCUUGAGAGUGAGAAGACGUUAUGCUCAUCCACAGUCAUACACCAAACGCAAUCAUGAUGAAUAUGUGGUUAUUCUUCUAACGUUACAUAAGAGAACACUUAUUUCUUACUGUGACAACAUAUGUAUCCUGAACCACAAACUGGCUUUUAUUAACAUCCAAGAAGUCAUGGUGAACCUUGUAUACGACAAUGCUAGCUCUGCUCCUGGGUUACAAACGUAAAGAAAGGGAAAACCAAGACUUAAGCUUUGAAAAAAAAAUAGUAUGGUUAGUAAAGCAGAAGACUGUAAAUAGUUACCUGUUGGUGAAACAUGAUUAAAAAUGAGAGGACACAGCUUUUUCUCUAAAAUAACACUAUGUGUUUCAAUAUGUAGCAUGGUCUUAAUACUUUCAAACCUUGGACACCCUUAAAAUUUUUAUUAGAUAGCUAAAAAAAUUAAGUAUAGAUAGUUAAUAAUAGGAAAGGGGAAAAAAGAAAACAAUCAAAAAAAUAAUAUCUGGGAAACCUUGUCGGUUGUUGAUGAUUUAAAAUUGUUCUCCAACCACGAGAGAAUGGCAAGUAUGUGGGAGGAUGCAACUUGUAAAUAGUGUAAUUCAGCCAUUCGUGUGUGCAUGUAUGUGUGUGUGUGUGUGUGUGUGUGUGAGAGAGAGAGAGAGAGAGAGAGAGUGCUUGUACCUGAAAGCAUCAUGUAUGCUAUAAAUAUGUAGAAAUUUUUAUUGGUCAGUUAAAAAAAUACUUAAAAGUGGCCUCUCCAUUUAGCACAGCUGAGCAUUUCCUAAGCUCUAUUCUCCUCCCAGCUCUCUAGAACCUUCGACUAUAAAAGACUGGGUUUUAAGAGUAACCUCUGGUUCUUUUGUUGUUGUUGUUGCUAUUUAUUUAUUUAUUUCUUCCAGGAACAAUAUAAGGGUCUCCAAUUAGUUGCAGGUGCAAAUAUUAUGCAUGCAAUUAAUUGUCUUCAAAUGGUUAAUUAUGGGCAGAAUUGGCUAAUUUGGGGUGCAAUUAACUACUUGCCACUUACUCUGAGAAUGCCCGUAGACAAUAGUGUCUGCGAUUAAUUUACAAGAGCCAUUACAGAGAGAACCUUGUACUAUAAAUCCAAGAAUGGAGUGGGAGAGUUCUUUAGAAGCAUGAUUUCACUCUGGGUUAAUUGCAUUGACUCUUCCCUUUGGCUUUUCUAUGCAGGUUGACUGUAAAUGGAGUUUCUUCCAGUUGCUUCCUUGGUGUGUGCAGAUGUGCUGGUGAUGAACGUGCGGAGAGCCUGGAGAAGUCUGGGCGUGCUCCCCAAGCACAGGGCCCUCUGUUGCUGGUCUGCAGGGCCAGGUCCAGUUUUGCCUACUUGUUUUAUGUGUCUGUUGACUUUCUUCUGUGGCUUUCCGGAUACAGCAGUGCACGAGUGCUUGCAGAAAUGAGCUUCUCCAAAUCAUUCUCAAGAAGCUCAACAUCUUUGUUAAAUGGUCAACUUUUAAAGUCAUCUUAUUAGCAAUAAUCAAUACACAGGUCCCACAAGAAACCACAGAUAUAAUUUUAAAAUUUAUAGUUCUUUAUAAAGACCCUUUAUGGACCUAAGAACUGUGAUUAAACUACCUUAUUUAAUCUUCCAAAUAAUCCUAUGGAUUAGGCAUUCUUCUCACCCAUAUUUUGCUUAUAAACUCGAAAAAAAGUUUGGCAACUUGCCAGUCAAUGGUGAAGCUGGGAUCAAACCCUGUUUGCACGUCUGUCAGCCCUGAGUCUUGGUAGAUAUGCUGUAUGUGGGCCUAUGGACCAGGAAGGGCAUUGGGAGCCCAUGCUAUCCAACUUCUUCAUCUGGACAGAUGGACUUAUGGUGGCGCACACAGCUCACUGAGGCCAUGCCAAGCUUAGAAACCAGAUUUCCUGCUGCCCAAUACAAUGCUCUAACCACAGUGCACUACCAAAGGAAGGCUCUGUGAGGCAGUUCUGUCCGUUUCUAUCUAUUCUUAAUAAAAAGGGGUUUUCCUGCGGAAUUUGCAACACUUGAGGGUUUGGGUGCAGGGCACCCGUUGAAGAGGCCUUCCGCUGCACGGCCUCUGUGGACCUUGGUGGCUUCCCAUCAGAAGGCUGCAGCUGUGGUGACUGCAGGCUGCCGCCAGGUUCCCGAGAGCCUGUUCUUCACAUCUUGCUUCCUGAGCACUGGCAAAGGGUGAGUAAUCAAAGGUGACAAGCUUUCUCCUCUGGCCCCACCACUGGUACAAGGCCAC